AGGACGAACGCUGGCGGCGUGCUUAACACAUGCAAGUCGAGCGGAAAGGCCUUUCGGGGUACUCGAGCGGCGAACGGGUGAGUAACACGUGAGUAAUCUGCCCAUCGCUUCAGGAUAGCCAUCGGAAACGGUGAUUAAUACUGGAUAUGACAUUCCUUCGCAUGUUGGGGUGUGGAAAGUUUUUUCGGCGGUGGAUGUGCUCGCGGCCUAUCAGCUUGUUGGUGGGGUAAUGGCCUACCAAGGCUUUGACGGGUAGCCGGCCUGAGGACGGGUGACCGGGCCAACGACGUGGGAACUGAGACGACGGCCCAGACUCCUACGGGAGGACAGCGAGGUGGGGAAUAGUUGGAACAAGUGGGACGGAAGCCGUGGACUCCGAGACCAACGGCCGCGGUGAGGGAUGACGGUCGUUCGGGUU
RNAcentral lists this ribosomal RNA (418 nucleotides) under uncultured soil bacterium. Its description in RNAcentral is "bacterial SSU rRNA". It matches the Rfam family "Bacterial small subunit ribosomal RNA", at positions 26 to 424 of the family's 1533-position model. The record is from RNAcentral.